Molecule: ribosomal RNA, 355 nt
Filed under: uncultured bacterium
Lineage: Bacteria
Description: bacterial SSU rRNA
Rfam family: Bacterial small subunit ribosomal RNA
Source: RNAcentral
AGAGUUUGAUCCUGGCUCAGGAUGAACGCUAGCUACAGGCUUAACACAUGCAAGUCGAGGGGAAACGGACAUCGAAAGCUUGCUUUUGAUGGGCGUCGACCGGCGCACGGGUGAGUAACGCGUAUCCAACCUGCCCAUCACUUGGGGAUAACCUUGCGAAAGUAAGACUAAUACCCAAUGACGUCUCUAGAAGACAUCUGAAAGAGAUUAAAGAUUUAUCGGUGAUGGAUGGGGAUGCGUCUGAUUAGCUUGUUGGCGGGGUAACGGCCACAAGGCGACGAUCAGUAGGGGUUCUGAGAGGAACGGUCCCCACAUUGGAACUGAGACACGGUCCCAAACUCCGUAACGGGAGCCA